This 396-nucleotide ribosomal RNA is filed under the name uncultured bacterium. Its description in RNAcentral is "partial 16S ribosomal RNA". It matches the Rfam family "Bacterial small subunit ribosomal RNA", at positions 523 to 918 of the family's 1533-position model. The record is from RNAcentral.
AUACGUAGGGGGCAAGCGUUAUCCGGAUUUACUGGGUGUAAAGGGAGCGUAGACGGAAGGCCAAGUCUGCAGUGAAAGCCCGGGGCUCAACCCCGGAACUGCUUUGGAAACUGUAUGUCUAGAGUGCAGGAGAGGUAAGUGGAAUUCCUAGUGUAGCGGUGAAAUGCGUAGAUAUUAGGAGGAACACCAGUGGCGAAGGCGGCUUACUGGACUGUAACUGACGUUGAGGCUCGAAGGCGUGGGGAGCAAACAGGAUUAGAUACCCUGGUAGUCCACGCGGUAAACGAUGAAUACUAGGUGUCGGGAGAGAAACUCUUUCGGUGCCGCAGCAAACGCAAUAAGUAUUCCACCUGGGGAGUACGUUCGCAAGAAUGAAACUCAAAUGAAUUGACGGGG